RNAcentral lists this long non-coding RNA (378 nucleotides) under Zalophus californianus (California sea lion). RNAcentral's name for it is "lncRNA (ENSZCAG00015010831.1)". The record is from RNAcentral. Lineage: Eukaryota; Metazoa; Chordata; Mammalia; Carnivora; Otariidae.
UAUAUCACAUGUGUUUCUUGUUUUAGCAUGUGUAAUCAAAAGUAAACUCUUCAUGAAUAAAAGUUUAAAAUAUUUUCUUUCAAAAUAUUCAUAGAAGGAGACUCUGCAAGGAUCUGCUAUCACAGAUAUGGAGGUUGGGAAGAAUUGUCCAGACACCAUUAAAAGCAUGAAUGUGUACCUUUGCCUUGCAGGUCACCUCACUGAAUGUGGUACUCAGAGUAUUGAUGGAAAAUUCAUAGAUUGGUAUUUGAUGCCAGACAGGUAGGAAAGUUUAUAUAGCAUGGCAUAUAGUAUCUAUGUUUUAGAAAUUUUAUUAUGUGUUUAUUAAACUGUAUUUCAUUAUUGUCCUUUUUAAAAUUUGUAUUGUUUCUUCAUUUG